GAUGCAAGUAUAUUAUUUGCAUAACACAGAUGCUGAUUUUUCUCUUGGACCAGUAAUUAGUUGUAACAUUGCGAACGGACAUCAGCAACUGCUUGAUAUCGAAGGGAAUGAUAUUCAGAUGGUAAAAUGGAUGCGAGCUGGGACGAUUUUGAUUAAAAAACCCUGUCUCCUUCUUAGUGAGGUCUCAGAUUUUCCGUCCUUCGUUUUACUUAAGUAUAUAU
Amphimedon queenslandica is the source of this 221-nucleotide long non-coding RNA. RefSeq lists it as uncharacterized. The transcript has 3 exons. NCBI's taxonomy places the organism in Eukaryota, Metazoa, Porifera, Demospongiae, Haplosclerida, Niphatidae. The record is from RefSeq and is a predicted model, not a curated record.